UAUCCUCUUUCUUGAUUAAACAUUAGAGAAAAUUGGUGCCCCUGAAUUUGUAAGAGUUCCAGAUUAAAUAGAGACUGUUAACAACGACAAAUCGAACCUUCUAAGCAAAAAAGAAAUGAACAUAAUGUCCCAGUUGAUAUUAACUAUAUUUGGGUCGAUGCAUGACACACGGUAUCCCAAAAUAUAAUCACCACGUUAGACUCAGCUUACAUCACAAUUAACUACUCCUGCCCCCAAGAAAAAGUCUUCCUCGUAUGCUUGAGAUAUUUUAACAGAUAGUCUCACGCUAAUAUAUACUUCUCUUGUUAGGUACGGACUAAUUAAAUAAGCAUAAAGAACUUAAGUUGAUCGGGACAAGAGGAAAAUAUGAAAACUAGCUUGGCAUUAUCUCGACUAUCUAUCAUCUGAAUAGGACUGCACUAUGAAUUAAUUGGAUCACACCUGCUGCUAGUGAGGAGCUCCUUUUACCGUCUCCAUCUAACCUCUCUAGACUCUAGAGGUACUCCAUUUCAGAACUAACCAUGCAUUUGUACCUACCAAAAGGGCAAUAAGCAUCCCCAAAAAAAAAAACAGACUGCCUACUUGUCAAUGAAUCCAGUUCUGUCAUAUUAAUACGAUUCAGAUUGUAUUAAUUGUGAAGUAAUUUGUUAUGCAGGCGUACGUUGAAGAGCUAGAGAAAGAGGUUCGCCGGCUGGUGGAUGACAACUUGAAUCUCAAGAAGCAGUGCAAAGAGCUGAAACAGGAGGUUGCUGCACUGGUGAUGCCUACAAAGAGCUCACUGCGACGAACUUCAUCAACUCAAUUCUGAAGGUCGACCAAAACAAGCAAGAUUAUCUGACGAUACAAAAUCAUUAGAAAGAUCUAAAUUAUGUGUAUUUGCAAUCCGGUGUGCGUUUGUGCAGGGGUCAGGCAUGAGAGAGGAUAUUGUGUGUAGGUGAUCGAUGGAUGCUAUGAACUACCUCUGCAGUUAGAAAUGUGUUAGAUCUUGUCUCUGCAAAGAUGAACACCUUUUCUUACUUGUUCAACUCGAUCAGCAUGCAGUAUCCUGUUCAAUUUUUUUCCCCUUCAGCCAUUCAGAAAUUCAGAAGUGGCUAUCAUGCUUUAAUUUUGUUUCAA
Non-coding RNA from Oryza sativa Japonica Group (Japanese rice), 1116 nucleotides. NCBI's taxonomy places the organism in Eukaryota, Viridiplantae, Streptophyta, Magnoliopsida, Poales, Poaceae. The record is from RefSeq and is a predicted model, not a curated record.